Molecule: non-coding RNA, 1422 nt
Organism: Lactuca sativa (garden lettuce)
Lineage: Eukaryota; Viridiplantae; Streptophyta; Magnoliopsida; Asterales; Asteraceae
Source: RefSeq, a predicted model, not a curated record
UUAAAGCCCAUUAAUUCAUUUAUUGCCUCCAUUUGGUUCUCAACAUGCAAGUCAGCAAAAUUCGUAGAAAGGAGAAAUAAAUCAUAUCCCUCAUCCUUCUCCAUGAAGGCUUAAACGCAUUGCAAAUUGAUAGCAAAGAGGCAAUAAAAUAAACAUGGUUUUUUGUUUUCAUUCUGUCGGGGUUUUUUUUGGAAUGUAAAAAGGUUUGGUUUUCCCGUUACAUAAUAGCAAAUAACGUGAUGAUUAAACAAAUAGAAAAGGGAAUAAACGUGGGAGAAUUUUAGAACUGUCACAGUGUUACUUCUUGUAUAUAAAUCUUUUGCAAAGAUUAAAACUUCCAUAUUCUUUGAUAAUUUUUUUUUUUGGUUAAACUCAAAGGAACUAAAUGGAUGUAGUGAGUGGAGGUUCGGAAGGAGACAUUAGGCUUCAUAAUUUCAUCCCCAGAUCGAUCUCUGGUGCUCUAUUUGGUGCCCUUACCUGUAUCUUCGCCUUUUCGGGGCGUUGGUGGGUGCUAUCACUGGUGCUGUGGCAGGUAGAACUUCUGAUUGUGGGGCCUUCCGUGGAGCUGGACUCGGUGCUCUUGCUGGGGCUGUUCUUUCAGUCGAGAUUUUGGAGACUUUACGUGUUUUUUCGCGUCAAGGACUUGCUGACAUACCGAACUCCUCAAGGGUGAAUUUUAUGGAGGAGCUUUUUCGUGGAAGGUUGUCAGAGCUACAUUUUCUACCUGAAGUCUUAACAGCAAAUCAUUUGCAGGUAAAUGUGCAUCUCGUUGAAGUAGCUUACAAAGGGUUGUGAGAGGAUUCAUUGAGAUGCUUGCCAUGGCACCGGAUGUCAGAUAAAAUUAAACCGAUUCAAGCCAUCUUUUGCCCAAUAUGUUUGGAGGUUGCAUUUCUCCUGAAAUCUAUACAUCAUAAAUUCAUAGAUUUAUUCGAUAUACAUCACAAAUCUUAAAGUUUUAUUCAGUAUACAUCACAAAGUUUCAAAGCUUUAUUUCAUGUAUAUCCCAAACUAGUACAUGAACUAGCAUCAUAUAAAGUAUGUGACUGACUAUGGCAGGACAUCAAAGUAGGUGAAAUUGCUCGGAUUUUGCCUCACUGUCAACACAUGUUUCACUUGAUUUGUGUGGAUAAGUGGUUCACUCGACAUUGCUCAUGCCCCACCUGCCGACAACAUGUAUGAGAUUUUGUUCGAGGUGACAACAUUGUUGAAAGUUAUAUAGUUAUCACGAGAGUAUCAUAAAAGGACUUGUUCUGGUUAUAUUUUAUGUUAUGUAGUAUUUUGUGCAGAUUGUAAUAAUAAAAGGGUCAAGUUGAAGUUUUUCUAAAGUAAAUGGACUAUUGGGUUUGGUAUUGGUUUCGGCCAUAUUUGGUCUGAUACUUUAACCGGUGUAUUUAAUGUGUUAUUGUGUUCAUUUUGGGUCAU